ACGGGUGAGUAAUACAUCGGAACGUAUCCUGGAGUGGGGGAUAGCCCGGCGAAAGCCGGAUUAAUACCGCAUACGCUCAGAGGAGGAAAGCGGGGGACCUUCGGGCCUCGCGCUCAAGGGGCGGCCGAUGGCGGAUUAGGUAGUUGGUGGGGUAAAGGCCUACCAAGCCGACGAUCCGUAGCUGGUCUGAGAGGACGACCAGCCACACUGGGACUGAGACACGGCCCAGACUCCUACGGGAGGCAGCAGUGGGGAAUUUUGGACAAUGGGGCAACCCUGAUCCAGCAAUGCCGCGUGUGUGAAGAAGGCCUUCGGGUUGUAAAGCACUUUUGUCCGGAAAGAAAUCAUCGGGGCCAAUACCCCUGGUGGAUGACGGUACCGGAAGAAUAAGCACCGGCUAACUACGUGCCAGCAGCCGCGGUAAUACGUAGGGUGCGAGCGUUAAUCGGAAUUACUGGGCGUAAAGCGUGCGCAGGCGGUGCUGUAAGACCGAUGUGAAAUCCCCGGGCUUAACCUGGGAACUGCAUUGGUGACUGCAGCGCUGGAGUAUGGCAGAGGGGGGUGGAAUUCCACGU
RNAcentral lists this ribosomal RNA (575 nucleotides) under uncultured bacterium. RNAcentral describes it as "bacterial SSU rRNA". It matches the Rfam family "Bacterial small subunit ribosomal RNA", at positions 102 to 674 of the family's 1533-position model. The record is from RNAcentral.